RNAcentral lists this ribosomal RNA (465 nucleotides) under uncultured Klebsiella sp. Its description in RNAcentral is "bacterial SSU rRNA". It matches the Rfam family "Bacterial small subunit ribosomal RNA", at positions 338 to 795 of the family's 1533-position model. Lineage: Bacteria; Pseudomonadati; Pseudomonadota; Gammaproteobacteria; Enterobacterales; Enterobacteriaceae. The record is from RNAcentral.
CCUACGGGCGGCAGCAGUGGGGAAUAUUGCACAAUGGGCGCAAGCCUGAUGCAGCCAUGCCGCGUGUGUGAAGAAGGCCUUCGGGUUGUAAAGCACUUUCAGCGGGGAGGAAGGCGUUAAGGUUAAUAACCUUGGCGAUUGACGUUACCCGCAGAAGAAGCACCGGCUAACUCCGUGCCAGCAGCCGCGGUAAUACGGAGGGUGCAAGCGUUAAUCGGAAUUACUGGGCGUAAAGCGCACGCAGGCGGUCUGUCAAGUCGGAUGUGAAACCCCCGGGCUCAACCUGGGAACUGCAUUCGAAACUGGCAGGCUAGAGUCUUGUAGAGGGGGGUAGAAUUCCAGGUGUAGCGGUGAAAUGCGUAGAGAUCUGGAGGAAUACCGGUGGCGAAGGCGGCCCCCUGGACAAAGACUGACGCUCAGGUGCGAAAGCGUGGGGAGCAAACAGGAUUAGAUACCCUAGUAGUC